RNAcentral lists this small RNA (28 nucleotides) under Bombyx mori (domestic silkworm). RNAcentral describes it as "ovarian small RNA-21581". Lineage: Eukaryota; Metazoa; Arthropoda; Insecta; Lepidoptera; Bombycidae. The record is from RNAcentral.
UACUGUUUUGGUCAAGCCGAAACGGAUU